ACUCCUACGGGAGGCAGCAGUGGGGAAUAUUGGACAAUGGGCGGAAGCCUGAUCCAGCAACGCCGCGUGAGGGAUGACGGCCUUCGGGUUGUAAACCUCUUUCACCGAUGGCGAAGCCGUCCCUUUUUGGGGGGUGGUGACGGUUAGUCGGAGAAGAAGCACCGGCCAACUACGUGCCAGCAGCCGCGGUAAUACGUAGGGUGCGAGCGUUGUCC
RNAcentral lists this ribosomal RNA (215 nucleotides) under uncultured bacterium. RNAcentral describes it as "partial 16S ribosomal RNA". It matches the Rfam family "Bacterial small subunit ribosomal RNA", at positions 335 to 546 of the family's 1533-position model. The record is from RNAcentral.